Molecule: ribosomal RNA, 484 nt
Filed under: uncultured bacterium
Lineage: Bacteria
Description: partial 16S ribosomal RNA
Rfam family: Bacterial small subunit ribosomal RNA
Source: RNAcentral
AUUGAACGCUGGCGGAAUGCUUUACACAUGCAAGUCGAACGGCAGCACGGGGGCAACCCUGGUGGCGAGUGGCGAACGGGUGAGUAAUACAUCGGAACGUGCCCGGUCGUGGGGGAUAACGUAGCGAAAGUUACGCUAAUACCGCAUACGAUCUGAGGAUGAAAGCGGGGGACCUUCGGGCCUCGCGCGAUCGGAGCGGCCGAUGUCAGAUUAGGUAGUUGGUGGGGUAAAGGCCUACCAAGCCGACGAUCUGUAGCUGGUCUGAGAGGACGACCAGCCACACUGGGACUGAGACACGGCCCAGACUCCUACGGGAGGCAGCAGUGGGGAAUGUUGGACAAUGGGCGCAAGCCUGAUCCAGCCAUUCCGCGUGCAGGACGAAGGCCUUCGGGUUGUAAACUGCUUUUGUACGGAACGAAAAGGCUCUGGCUAAUACCUGGGGCUCAUGACGGUACCGUAAGAAUAAGCACCGGCUAACUACGUG